UACCAGCACCCCGAGUUGUCGGGACGAUUAUUGGGCCUAAAGCAUCCGUAGCCGGCCUUACAAGUCCUCCGUUAAAUCCAGCUGCUUAACAGAUGGGCUGCGGAGGAUACUAUAAGACUAGGAGGCAGGAGAGGCAAGCGGUACUCAGUGGGUAGGGGUAAAAUCCGUUGAUCCAUUGAAGACCACCAGUGGCGAAGGCGGCUUGCCAGAAUGCGCUCGACGGUGAGGGAUGAAAGCUGGGGGAGCAAACCGG
This 253-nucleotide ribosomal RNA is filed under the name uncultured bacterium. RNAcentral describes it as "partial 16S ribosomal RNA". It matches the Rfam family "Archaeal small subunit ribosomal RNA", at positions 474 to 727 of the family's 1478-position model. The record is from RNAcentral.